Vespa crabro (European hornet) is the source of this 5232-nucleotide long non-coding RNA. RefSeq lists it as uncharacterized. The record is from RefSeq and is a predicted model, not a curated record. The transcript has 2 exons. Lineage: Eukaryota; Metazoa; Arthropoda; Insecta; Hymenoptera; Vespidae.
ACGACCAAACGUAGAGAAACAUGAGAAGAGCGGGGAGAUAGUUAACGAGAGAGAGAGAGGGGGGGGGAAAGGAGAGAGACAGAGGGAACAUUGUAAUAGUUUCGUAUGACUUAUUUUAUGCGAUAAUAAUCACAUCUAUAAAUAACAUCUAAAAAAACUCAAGUAUUUAUUCUUACGAAAUGAAUUUUGAGAAUCGAUAUUUCCGAUCUAAUAUAACGUAUUGUUCCAUUUACGUAACACCUUGUAAAACACUUCAACUAGUAAAAAAAAAACUUGUUUUUCGAAAGAUUCGUUUCAAAAAGUUCCGUUUUUUAUCGAUAAAACCAAGUUCCACGAUUUAUCAUCGAAGAAAAACGAGCGAACAAGCAGGCGAGUAAGCAAGCGAGUGAGUACGCGUUUCUUAGAGUAAACGACGUUCCUACCGAAGAAGGUAAAUGGACCGUUCACUGUUACUUGAAUGCCGUGCCCAUCGUGUAUCGCCGUUGUUUCCAUGGGAAACGGUCAGGUAGAAUCGUGGAAAAUACGUUAAGCUUCAAAGAGAAAGAGAAAGAAAAAGAGAAAAAGAAAGAGAAAGAGAGUGAGAGAGAGAGAGAGAGAGAGAGAGAGAGAGAAAGAGAGAAAACAGGUAAAGAGACAUAGAGCCAAUAUGCAAGCGUGUAAAUUCUCUGUGUGUGGCUCUGUGUACAUAUUGAUAUGUAUGUGUAUUUCUCUCUUUCUCUCUUUCUCUCUCACUCUCUCUUUUCCUCUCAUCGCACUACCUUCUAACAGGUCAUAAAAGCAGAACCAUAAGCCCAGUCGCAUGACCUAGCACAACAAUGGCUAUAGAAUCGCUUGUGCUACGGCUAUUUGCAUUUCUCUUUAUUCCUCUCUCACUCAGUUGCUCGCAUACUCACUCACUCACUCACUCACUCACUAUCUAUCUCUAUCUCUAUAUCUAUCUAUGAGCUUUCUGUCUCUUUCCAUAUCACGGGAUGUCGUGUAGAACGGUGUAAGUAAUUCAAUUAUACUACUCGUCAUUUUACCUACGACGAACGCAUUAACAAAUUUGCAUUUAUUAACAGGUAUAAAGGGAAGAAUGUAAUUGUUGUUAGACGAAAUAUUACACUAUAUUAUUUUCACACAUGGCUUAUCAUCUUGUCGUGUAAACGAGGAGAACAGGCCCAACCGGAAGUGUGGGAGGGGGGAUGGAUUAUUCAUGUGUAUUUGAUACCACCGACGAGUUCUGAUGGAGAAUAAUAAGAAGAGAACUAAGAGAUGGAGUAGGAGGAAAUUACGAAAGACGUUAUAAACCUGGCCUCUUCUCCCUUAUUUCGAAAGAGAAAAAACUUAAAAUUCUUUUCUCUUGUAAAAUGGAGAUAAAGAGAAAGAAACGGAAAGCGUAGGCGCAUAUACUAAGAUGAUCGAUUGUUAGCGAAUAAGAUUUCGAAGGAAGAGAGAGAAAGAGAGAAAGACUCGUUGAAAGCUUCAUUUUGUUUUCAAUCGAAUUAAAAGAAUUCUUGGCAUGUAAUUAUUUUCAAUUAAUUAUCGAUUUUGGUAUCACUUUUCAAUCGAUUGUAAAUGAAAAACGUUUAGUUUUCACGUUGACACAGAUUUUCUCUUUGUUUCUUUCUUUCUUUCUCUCUCUUUCUCUUUCUCUCUCUUUUUUGAAAUAUAAUUCACAGAAAUCCAAUCCUUUUAUCGAUAUUAUAUUUUCAAAAUCACUUCUAUCAACGAAGUGUACGUUUAGAAGGAACUUCGCAAGGCAGAUCUUUGUAUGAAUCGAGUUGAAUGUAUAUAUACAUGUAUGUGUAUGUACGUGGGUGUAUGUACCUAAAGAAAGAGAGAGAAAGAAAGAAAACAAGAAAUAAUGAGAGAGAGAAAGAACGAGAAAAAUUCGUCAAAGGGGCACGACAAGCGAACAUAUAUGUAUGUACGUAUGUAUGCAUGUACAUAUGUAUGUAUGUAUGUAUGUAAGUAUGGAUAUAGGUAUGUAUGGCUCUAUGUAUGGAUGUAUGUGUGUAUAAAGAAGUGAGUCAUCGAACGAGUGGGCGUAGAAAACCCUCGAUUGGAUCGGCCGGAAGAAAUAAGGAGAGGAGAGUAUUACUGCUCGUAGGUGAUUUCAAAGAGUGCUCUUCUCUCUUCGAGAGACUGAUCCUCAUAGACUCGCGGAAGAUGUCGUUCCAUCGAGAGCUCUAUAAACCGUUCUUUUAGGAGAAAGUUUUCAACUGCACGAAGAGGGAGAGGGAGAAAGAAAGAGAGACAUAAAGAGAUAAAGAGAGAGAGAGAGAGAGAGAGAGAGAGAGAGAGAGAGAACCUUGUGGCUUAGCCAUACGAGACAAGGAGAGAUCUUGCGCCUAAUAAGUUCAAUGAGGUUUCGAGUUGAUCGUGAAGGCUUCGACAGAAUUGAUUUCUCGACACGAUUAGAUAUAGUUGAAGCAAUAUUUCUUCUUCUUCUUUUCCUUUUUUAUUAUUUUCUUUUUUUUUGUCUUCCUUUAAUCCUCAAUAAAUAUAGCAUAAGAGAUACGAAAAAAAAUUUGUUUAAAGUAUCUGCUGUCAAAAUAUAUCUAUUUACAAAUAGUAACAUAAUUCACGAUGUAAAGACGAUUUGUAGAGAAAGAGAGAGAGAGAGAGAGAGAAAGAGAAAGAAACAAGUAUCCUUAUGUAAUUCCGAAUAUUGUGAGAUAAAAAGAAUGGACGGCCCUUAUUGCGAGAAGAGGAAGAGGAGUCAACGAAAGGUAUUAUAUUGGUAUAACUUGUCCCUUCUUUCAAAGCUGACUUUCUAAUUUCGUAAAGUUUCCUUAAUACAACUUCCUCUUUCUUGAAUCGAGCACCUACAUAAGUCUUUUAUACUAAAGGUAUCCAUCUUCCGUGAUUUAUCCGUAAAGAAAAGAAAGCGUAUGUAUGUUAGGAGCUCAGAGUAUUAUCGAGAAAAUGUCAUUUACUUUUAGAUGCCCAUCUCUUCUAUAUUAUCUCACUGACAUCUUAAUAUUAUCGUUAAAAAAUAUAUAAAUAAAAUAUAUAUAAGAAUAUCAUAAUAAUUAUAAAUAUUGUAAAAUAUUGUAAUAGAGUUUAUAUAUUCUUUGAUAAUUUCCCAUUGAUACUUUUAUAAAUGGAAUCAAUACAGUAAAGAAAAGAAAAGGAAAAAAGAAAGAGAGGGAGAAAGAGAGAAAAAAGAAAAAAGAGUUGCAACAAAUUCUAAACUUCUAAUGAAACACCUACCACGGAUAUUCUGUCUUUUUUUUUCUUCUUUUUUUCUUUUUUCUUUUUUCCUUUCUUUCUUUUUUAUCUUCCAGACAGAAAAGAACGAUCGGCCCAUCCUAGUUGCCUGAAUCACCCUGAGUACAUACACGUACACACGUACAUACAUACACGCACACACGCACAUAUACAAACAUAUAAACAUAUAGACACCUAGUGGAUGAAGCCAUUAGUGGCUAGGCGAAAGAUAGAAAAAGGGGAGAAAUCUAGAAAGAAGACUAUAUCUUCCGCCUUAUAUAUUCUUUCUCUUUACCUCCCUUAGUCAUAGUUUCUUCCUACGGCGUUCUCUUUUCUUGGAAUUUCAAGGGGAUGCAUAUAAACGAGCGAAUCGAGGGGAGACGAAAAAAGAACUUUUCUAGACAGAGACGGUAAGAAUGACACGAUCGUAUACCCUUGCUCGAUAGGUGGUUCGUUAUAUCCUAUAAAACUUAAGGGAGAGAAAGAGAGAGAAGAGAUUUCGAUGACUUUAUUGGGUGAUUUCGACUGAGUCGAGGGGUUGAAAAGGCCACGAUAACAGAACAAUUCUGUAUCUGAGUCAUGAAUUGCUGUCGGUGAUAUUGCUACGAUUCUAUAUAUAUAUAUAUAUAUAUAUAUAUAUAUAUAUAUAUAUAUAUAUGUGUGUGUGUGUGUGUGUGUGUCUCGUUGGACAAUUUAUUAAAAGGAUUUCUAAAACUAGGAAAUACCUUUUUAUCUAUCUUUUCCAAUAAACUUUUUUCUUUCUUUUCUUUCAACGAGUUAGUACAAAUACAUAAAUACACCGAAAAUACUAUGUCCGCCAGUCCCAAAAGGUCUCUUUUAUCUUAUUAUUACUGACAUCCUCGUUAAUUAUCCACAUAGAGAGAGAAAGAGAGAGCACUCCUCGGACCUUUUUAAGCAGGAAGUAUGACGCGUUUAAUCGUUCUCUCACAUAAAUUUUCACCGUUAGGAUAAGACAUGUCUCAACAGGGUUAAUAACCGUGUCUUGAUUUAAUAAUAAUAAACGAGAAUAUUCAAAUAAUAUGUUACGUAUAUAAAAAUGUUCAUUUAUCGAACUUUAUUGAAAGAUUAUGAGAAAUUGUUAUCGAAUAGAUGAUUUACGAGACGAUAAGAUAUAGAUAAGUAGUAAAAUACUUACAUGUUGUCAAUCGAAAAAUUCCUAUUAUUCUUUCCGCAUUGAAACUGACGAAAGCAAAAAAAGGAAAAAAAAAAAACAAGAAGAAGGAAAAACAUCCUCCGUUCUUAGUAGAUACACGGAGAUAAAAAAAACAUUAGAAGGAAAUAUUAGUCAUCUUUCUAGCAGCAUCUUUUAUGAAUACAUUAGAAAGAGAGACAUAUGAGAGAGACAGAGAGAGCAUGCAGAUGCAUUAGGUCGUUGUAAAUGGUUACGUGGAAUUGCCAUUAAAAUGGUAUAGUAGGAAAACGUUCCUCGUUAGGAGUUAUAUUUCGUUUUAUAUCCUUGGAAAAAAGAAUCAGAGAAAGAGCGAGAGAGAGAGAGAGAGAGAGAACGAAGGGAAGGAGAAAAAAAUAGAGAAAAUAAGGAGAGAAGAAUUUUGCUUGGUAUUAACGAUUUGUUAUACUUUCGAAUCGAACUAUGCGCUCGUACUUUGGAUAAUUAACGUAACGGAACGUCAGAGAAGGAAAAUAAAGACUAUGCGAGGGAGGAAGAGAGAAAAAAGAGAGAGAGAGAGACAGAGAGGAAGGGGGGAGGGAAACACGAAUGCUUAGCGGUCUACAUGAGUCUCGCCUCGUCAGGCUUGCUCGUAAAAUGCGACUCGUCGUUCGCUAAGUGAAAAUACGUUUCUCUUUCUCUUUCUCUCUUUUCGAAGAGGAGGCUCAACUUUUUCCCGGCGUUCCACGUCGGCGAAUUCGGAGGAUGAAUGAGUUUUCGAGCGCUUGCUGAGAGAAAACAGGAAAGUCAGAGAGAGAGAGAGAGAGAGAGAGAGAGAGAGAGAGAGAGAGAGAGAGAGAGAGAGAGAGAGAGAGAGAGAGAGAGAGAGAGAGAGAGAGAGAGACAAA